This 876-nucleotide long non-coding RNA is filed under the name Homo sapiens (human). Its description in RNAcentral is "HSALNT0117251". The record is from RNAcentral. Lineage: Eukaryota; Metazoa; Chordata; Mammalia; Primates; Hominidae.
ACCCUUUUCCUGGGAUGUGCCUGGGGGAAUAGCAGGAUCUGUGCCCAUCAUGCCUGCCUGCAUGGCUCUGUGUCUCUGUGAUGUCCACGGAAGAUGACAGCAGUUUCUGAGCAUUGAGAAUCAAUGACAUCCUGUUCAAAGAGCACGUGGGUUCCAGGAAGAUGUGAGCAUUUAGACAACCCGUCCUGGAGCCCCAAGUCAUGACGGGCCAGUUGCGAAACAAAACACACGAGGAGCCCCUGUGCUUCUUGCCCGCCAUUUGUGGGCAGCAAUUCCCCAAGCAGGGAGCAUGCGUCCACUUGCUGUGACUGUGCUGUGCUCACCACUGGGGACAAAAGACUCCCUGAAUGGGGACACAGAGCUGGUGCUGGCCCCGAGGUGGGGACGGUCAGCGAAGAGCAGAGUCAGCCAGGGAGGGAGAGCGGGAGAAAUCCUGAAGGAGUUAACUCUUCUCGCAGUCAUGGUGCCCCAUUCUAUGGGCAGCAUUGGCUGGAAGUGCCAGGAAAGGUUAGUGUCUGCCUUCACUGGAGUCACCCACUUCUUUUAGCUGAGAGGAUGCUGGGUUUUGACGCGCUGCGUUGUAUAAUCAGUAAUGGGUUGUUAAUGUUCUGUAGGCUGUUUCGUUUAUCCUUGGAUAAACAUUAACCGAGUGUAGUUACAUACAUUAAUACAUGACUGUACCAUCACACACAUGUUCUCAUGGGUGUGGACACCUCACUCCAUCUGUCUCAUGUCUACGUUUUAAAUAUUUAACAAGGAGAACGCAAUGUUAUGGGAAAGCAGCUCCAGAUCUCGACACUUUGGCCUGAGGAAAUCGUUUUGCCUUCUUAUGUUUAGCUUCCUGCUUUUAUUUUUAGCAACAAUAAACACACACAG